Numida meleagris (helmeted guineafowl) is the source of this 1242-nucleotide long non-coding RNA. RefSeq lists it as uncharacterized. The record is from RefSeq and is a predicted model, not a curated record. Lineage: Eukaryota; Metazoa; Chordata; Aves; Galliformes; Numididae. The transcript has 4 exons.
UGCAAGGUACCAGCUGAUGGAAGGCUUCAGAGAAAUUGCGCAUGCUGCUCACAUUCCCUUUGUGCUGCUUUGUGCUGUUGGGAUCAAGAUGAGCAAAGUGGGCAUGGAGCAGCUGCUGGGAACUGCUGGACUCAAACCUCCUGGAGCUGUCUCGUGGCCAGACAUCACAACUGCUCCUCAUGGUGCUGUCUGGAGAACCUGUGCACUUGAAGUACCAUGAGAAGGGAGAAGGAUGAUAGAGCCUCCGGGGGAUGGGGCUCCUGCUCUUGAGUCAGGGCCCCACAGCUGGUGGGAAGUGCUCAGCUGCUCUCCUCCUGCUUCAUCACAGCAAUAGGAGUGCAACCCCAGUGUCCCAGCACACAUCCCCGUUGCAGCAGAGCUCAGUGAGGCAGUGGUUGGAGCUUGUCUUGCAGCAGGACGUCUCGGAGGAAUACAGUGCAUCGUGUUCCCAGGCUGCCAGCUCCAUAAUGAAACCAUUUUUCAGGUGGUAGAAAACUGUCCAAGUGGGGGCCCUUCAAGAGAGAUUCUCCAGCAAGUGCCAAUCCCACUGGUCACCGUCUGUAACCUUACUGCACCCUUGGUGAUGUCCUUCAGGUCCAUUCCUCAGUUCCUUCAUGAAUCAGCCCAUGUGGCUGUAACAUGGGGCAGCUUUGGCCAACCACAGGUCCACUGCGACUGCCUUAAAUCGGGUUGUACAAUUUGGUUUCAAUGAGGUUUAACUCAUGUCAGUAUUUUACCCAGUGCUAGGAAAGUAAUCUUAGUUAAUCAAAAUAAAGAGGAUCUAGCCCAGAAAUCUGGUGCUAAAUUGAGGCCUGUAACCUUUUGUAAUACACUCAGUACGCUCCCUUCCUUUCUUAGAAGCCUGUCAUUGCAUACAUGGUCAGCCCUGGAGUUGGGAUGGCUUGCUGAGAAAGAAUGUGGACAUGCAGUUGCUUUUUGAAUUCCAAAUUUCCUGAUUAAAAACCUUUGUUUCCUGGUGAAAAAGGGAAUCUAAUCUAAUAGGUGUUAAAGAGAAUGGGAAAACGGAGAGCAGUGAGUGAGAGGAGGUUAAGAAGGGAGACUAUUUUGAACACCUUUCUUCUCUGCUAAAACCUGCCCAUCUCCAAGGCAGGAGCAGCUCUGCCCAGCUGCAUCCUGGCAGCAUGAUAAGGAUUGCUUUAAGCCUCCAUAAGGUCCACCAGGGCUGCUGGCAGUUGUCUAUUAGAGGGAGCUGAUAGCUAAUCUCCUCCCUGCAUGUACCAU